This 71-nucleotide transfer RNA is filed under the name Loxodonta africana (African savanna elephant). It matches the Rfam family "tRNA". From Rfam's summary of the family: Transfer RNA (tRNA) molecules are approximately 80 nucleotides in length. Their secondary structure includes four short double-helical elements and three loops (D, anti-codon, and T loops). Lineage: Eukaryota; Metazoa; Chordata; Mammalia; Proboscidea; Elephantidae. The record is from Rfam by way of RNAcentral.
GUUUUGGUGGUUCAGUGGUAGAAUUCUCACUUUCCACAUGGGAGACCUGGGUUAGAUUCCCAGCCACUCCA